This 405-nucleotide ribosomal RNA is filed under the name uncultured bacterium. Its description in RNAcentral is "partial 16S ribosomal RNA". It matches the Rfam family "Bacterial small subunit ribosomal RNA", at positions 30 to 526 of the family's 1533-position model. The record is from RNAcentral.
AUUGAACGCUGGCGGCGUGCCUAAUACAUGCAAGUCGAACGAAGCGGGGACGGGUGAGUAACAUGUGGAUAACCUCUUAUAAGACUGGGUUAAUUUUGGGAAACGGAGUUUAUACCCAUCAGUUAUCAAUUGAUCCACGCUGCAUUAGCUAGUUGGGAAGGUACUAGCUUACCAAGGCAACGAUGCAUAGACGAACUGAGAGGGUGAUCGGCGACACUGGAACGGAGAAACGGUCCAGACUCCUACGGGAGGCAGCAGUAGGGAAUCUUCCGCAAUGGGCGAAAGCCUUACGGAGCCACGCCGCGUGAGUGAAGAAGGUCUUCGGAUCGUAAAACACUGUUAGUAUGGAAGCGGUACCUAAUCAGAAAGCAACGGCUAACUCCGUGCCAGCAGCCGCGGUAAUUC